Molecule: ribosomal RNA, 335 nt
Filed under: uncultured bacterium
Lineage: Bacteria
Description: bacterial SSU rRNA
Rfam family: Bacterial small subunit ribosomal RNA
Source: RNAcentral
ACCAGACUCCUACGGGAGGCAGCAGUGGGGAAUAUUGCACAAUGGGGGAAACCCUGAUGCAGCGACGCCGCGUGAGUGAAGAAGUAUUUCGGUAUGUAAAGCUCUAUCAGCAGGGACGAAAAUGACGGUACCUGAGUAAGAAGCCCCGGCUAACUACGUGCCAGCAGCCGCGGUAAUACGUAGGGGGCAAGCGUUAUCCGGAUUUACUGGGUGUAAAGGGAGCGUAGACGGUUAUGCAAGUCUGGAGUGAAAGGCAGGGGCUCAACCCCCGGACUGCUCUGGAAACUGUAGAUCUAGAGUGCAGGAGGGGUAAGUGGAAUUCCUAGUGUAGCGGU